This is a non-coding RNA of Cordylochernes scorpioides, 106 nucleotides long. The record is from the annotation of a GenBank genome assembly. NCBI's taxonomy places the organism in Eukaryota, Metazoa, Arthropoda, Arachnida, Pseudoscorpiones, Chernetidae.
AUGGCCAUACCACAAUGAAAACACCAGUUCUCAUCCUAUCACCAAAGUUGAACAAUGUCGGACCCGGUCAGUACUUGGGAGGGUGCCACAUGGGGUGCUGUAGGCU